AAUGUACAUGCCUACAACGUUAAUGCAUCGGAUCCCAGUAGAACUUCGCACUUAAGCAUGCUUGUGCUAGAGUACUAUUGGGAUCGGUGAUCGUCUGAAAAGUCCUAGUGGUUUACAAGU
Picea glauca (white spruce) is the source of this 120-nucleotide non-coding RNA. The record is from Rfam. NCBI's taxonomy places the organism in Eukaryota, Viridiplantae, Streptophyta, Pinopsida, Pinales, Pinaceae.